RNAcentral lists this ribosomal RNA (253 nucleotides) under uncultured bacterium. RNAcentral describes it as "partial 16S ribosomal RNA". It matches the Rfam family "Bacterial small subunit ribosomal RNA", at positions 524 to 776 of the family's 1533-position model. The record is from RNAcentral.
UACGGAGGGUGCGAGCGUUGUCCGGAAUCACUGGGCGUAAAGGGCGCGUAGGUGGCGCGGGCAGUCAACGGUGAAAGUUCGGGGCUCAACCCUGAAUCGGCCGUCGAUACUCCCGGGCUUGAGCACUGUAGAGGCUAAUGGAAUUCCGGGUGUAGCGGUGGAAUGCGUAGAGAUCCGGAAGAACACCGGUGGCGAAGGCGGUUAGCUGGGCCAAUACUGACGCUGAGGAGCGAAAGCGUGGGGAGCGAACAGG